Long non-coding RNA from Pezoporus occidentalis (night parrot), 1763 nucleotides. RefSeq lists it as uncharacterized. Lineage: Eukaryota; Metazoa; Chordata; Aves; Psittaciformes; Psittacidae. The record is from RefSeq and is a predicted model, not a curated record. The transcript is spliced from 2 exons.
AAAUCUUUAAAAUACAAAAUGAAAAAAUGUAUCCUGCAGAAAUCCUGAAAUGUUUGCUAAAUCUACAGUGUUUGUUAUGGCAAGGUAAAAAAAAAAAAAAAAAAGUCUCAAGGGCUUCUCUCACAAGACUUGUAUGACACUUUUUAAUAAACAAAAAAAGUAUUUUGAACUCCAUGUAUGCCCUCAUCAGCUCAUGCACAUAGCUUCCGUUAAUGGUGAUGAAACUGCAUGGAUGCACCAAUGGGACAGUAGACCCCUGGUCAAGUUAAAAGUGUCUGCAGGAAAAGAGUAGCAAAAUAAUAGUGUCUAUCCAAUGUAUCAUCUUCUCCCAGUGCUCAAAAGAUGUUUUUAAAUACCCUAACUCAACAGUAGUUUUGUGCUCUUUUACUGAUGGGAAUUUUCAAACCCCAAGUUAUUUCAUUAGGUAACACCACCGGUGUUUAAAAUGUCAGAAUCAAACUCCAUUUCCUAGUGUGAACACUGAAUACCAGUGCCUGAAGGAAAGUUUUAUAGCAUCAAUUAACUGCAACCAUUUGUAGGACUGACAAAGAGCUGCAUCAAAGUAUUAUUCUAACUUUUAGAUGUAUUGUGCAUCAUUUUUAUAACAUGCAAGCCAACAAUGAUGUACCUUGUUAUUGCAGGUCAGAACAACAUCACCCCAGCAGAUAAAUCACAGAGACUGUCAUUAGCAGUCCCAGAACUUGCAAGGCACAGGAUGAGAGAGGCCACAGAAGAGUAUGUCAUCCAAGGUCUAUCACAGUAGCAGCGAAAGAAUACAAUCCCAGAGUAUCAAUGUUUACCUUAAGCAUGAGCCUAUCCUGUCCGCUUCUUAACGUUCCCAGCUCCAUUUGCUACCCACCUCCCAGCCUUGACAACAAAUGGGGAAAUAUCAUGUGGAACCAAGAAACAGCCAUGAAAUUCAAACUGGCGUAUGUAAAUAGAGUACAAGAAUUGGGUUUUAGCUGUAAUGAGCCCAGAGGGAUUACUUAUUAAAGUUACUAAAACCAGACUGCUUAACUCCUCAGUUAUUUCAAAUGCUAUCCAAUAGCUACAUUGCCAAAAGGGGCCAAAUAAUCUACUUGGAUUGGUGUACAAUAUGCUUUGAAACAGAUGCAUUGGUUUAUGUUUCAUUUAGGUCUGUGCUGACAGUGAGACCCUGGCCCAGGAAUACUCGACUUCUGACUUCCAUCACGCCCUCUGAGGACUAAUAAAUGCACAGGAAGACAAUGGCUGGUAUUAAUGCUCUCUAUGGCUAACUGAAAAAGAGAGAUGGAGCAGGACUGCUCUGUUGCCAAGACAAUAGAAACCAUAAGUCAGUGAAAACUAGGAAAGAUCUAACUGAAAUAAACGAAAGUUGAACCUAAUUAAAGAAACAAGUAAACUAAUGUAAAGGUGGAGGGUCAGGGGAUGCUCAUUUUCUUUUCUGUUUUCCCUAUGAAUUCGCCUACAAAGAACUGGUGAAGGAGCUGUGGCAAAAGCAAUUGAGCAUAAAAAACCAUAGGGCUGUGUGUACUUCUCUGAUUUAUCAUGGCUUACAUGAAACCCAAUAUUGUUUAUACUCAAGUGAGAUGUGGCUUACUAUUCCAUGCAUUUAGGUAUGAUUGUGUUUCUAGUUACUGUUUAAUGAAACAUGGAUCUUGAGACUUUUGCAGUGCUCCUUCUUCUGAAGAAACACUGUGAAAUGAAAGAUGAAUAUGCUCAACCAUGUAAUGGAAUAAUUUAGUUUUGGUUUUAUUUUCUUCUGGUUGUUUUGGUUUUUUUUU